CCCUUAGAUGUUCUGGGCCGCACACGCGCUACACUGAAGGAGGCAGCGUGUACUCCUGGAUCGAAAGAUUUGGGUAACCCGCGAAUCUCCUUCGUGCUAGGGAUUGAGGUUUGCAAUUAUCCUUCAUGAACGAGGAAUUCCCAGUAAGUGCAAGUCAUAAGCUUGCGCUGACUACGUCCCUGCCCUUUGUACACACCGCCCGUCGCUACUACCGAUUGAAUGAUUUAGUGAGGACUUCGGACCGGGACCGAUGCGGCUUUCGGGCUGCGUCGGUAUUCUGGAAAGAUGUCCAAACUGUAUCAUUUAGAGGAAGUAAAAGUCGUAACA
RNAcentral lists this ribosomal RNA (327 nucleotides) under uncultured eukaryote. Its description in RNAcentral is "partial 18S ribosomal RNA". It matches the Rfam family "Eukaryotic small subunit ribosomal RNA", at positions 1470 to 1796 of the family's 1831-position model. The record is from RNAcentral.